RNAcentral lists this ribosomal RNA (562 nucleotides) under uncultured bacterium. RNAcentral's name for it is "bacterial SSU rRNA". It matches the Rfam family "Bacterial small subunit ribosomal RNA", at positions 8 to 618 of the family's 1533-position model. The record is from RNAcentral.
AGAGUUUGAUCAUGGCUCAGAUUGAACGCUGGCGGCAUGCCUUACACAUGCAAGUCGAACGCCCCGCAAGGGGAGCGGCGGACGGGUGAGUAACGCGUGGGAACGUACCCCUUUCUACGGAAUAGCCUCGGGAAACUGGGAGUAAUACCGUAUAAGCCCUACGGGGGAAAGAUUUAUCGGGAAGGGAUCGGCCCGCGUUGGAUUAGGUAGUUGGUGGGGUAAUGGCCUACCAAGCCGACGAUCCAUAGCUGGUUUGAGAGGAUGAUCAGCCACACUGGGACUGAGACACGGCCCAGACUCCUACGGGAGGCAGCAGUGGGGAAUCUUAGACAAUGGGGGAAACCCUGAUCUAGCCAUGCCGCGUGAUCGAUGAAGGCCUUAGGGUUGUAAAGAUCUUUCAGUGGGGAAGAUAAUGACGGUACCCACAGAAGAAGCCCCGGCUAACUCCGUGCCAGCAGCCGCGGUAAUACGGAGGGGGCUAGCGUUGUUCGGAAUUACUGGGCGUAAAGCGCACGUAGGCGGACCGGAAAGUCAGAGGUGAAAUCCCAGGGCUCAACCUUGG